AGAAAAUAGAUACCCGGGUAGUCCAUGCUGUAAACGAUGAGAACUAGAUGUUAGGGGGCAUGACCUCUUAAGUAUCGAAAGCUAACGCGAUAAGUUCUCCACCUGGGGAGUACGGCCGCAAGGUUAAAACUCAAAGAAAUUGACGGGGGCCCGCACAAGCGGUGGAGCAUGUGGUUUAAAUUCGAUGCAACGCGAAGAACCUUACCUACCUUUGAAUCCACGGAACCUAGCAGAGAUGUUGGGGUGCCUUCGGGAACCGUGAGACAGGUGCUGCAUGGCUGUCGUCAGCUCGUGUCGUGAGAUGUUGGGUUAAGUCCCGUAACGAGCGCAACCCUUGUCCUUAGUUGCCAUCAGGUUAUGCUGGGCACUUUGAGGAGACUGCCGGUGAUAAACCGGAGGAAGGUGGGGAUGACGUCAAGUCCUCAUGGCCCUUACAGGUAGGGCUACACACGUGCUACAAUGGGCAGUACAGAGGGAAGCCAACCCGCGAGGGGAGCGAAUCUCAUAAAGCUGUUCGUAGUCCGGAUUGGAGUCCGCAACUCGACUCC
Molecule: ribosomal RNA, 548 nt
Filed under: uncultured bacterium
Lineage: Bacteria
Description: bacterial SSU rRNA
Rfam family: Bacterial small subunit ribosomal RNA
Source: RNAcentral